CGGACGGGUGAGUAAUGUCUGGGAAACUGCCUGAUGGAGGGGGGUAACUACUGGAAACGGUAGCUAAUACCGCGUAACGUCGCAAGACCAAAGAGGGGGACCUUCGGGCCUCUUGCCAUCGGAUGUGCCCAGAUGGGAUUAGCUAGUAGGUGGGGUAACGGCUCACCUAGGCGACGAUCCCUAGCUGGUCUGAGAGGAUGACCAGCCACACUGGAACUGAGACACGGUCCAG
This 232-nucleotide ribosomal RNA is filed under the name uncultured bacterium. Its description in RNAcentral is "partial 16S ribosomal RNA". It matches the Rfam family "Bacterial small subunit ribosomal RNA", at positions 99 to 334 of the family's 1533-position model. The record is from RNAcentral.